UACGUAGGGUGCGAGCGUUGUCCGGAAUUAUUGGGCGUAAAGAGCUCGUAGGCGGUCUGUCGCGUCGGAUGUGAAAGCCCGGGGCUUAACUCCGGGUCUGCAUUCGAUACGGGCAGACUAGAGUGUGGUAGGGGAGAUCGGAAUUCCUGGUGUAGCGGUGAAAUGCGCAGAUAUCAGGAGGAACACCGGUGGCGAAGGCGGAUCUCUGGGCCAUUACUGACGCUGAGGAGCGAAGGCUAGGGGAGCGAACGGG
RNAcentral lists this ribosomal RNA (253 nucleotides) under uncultured bacterium. RNAcentral's name for it is "partial 16S ribosomal RNA". It matches the Rfam family "Bacterial small subunit ribosomal RNA", at positions 524 to 776 of the family's 1533-position model. The record is from RNAcentral.